UCGAGAAUCUUCGGCAAUGGGCGCAAGCCUGACCGAGCGACGCCGCGUGGAGGACGAAGGCCUUCGGGUUGUAAACUCCUGUCGAGGGGGAGAAAGGCACCGCAAGGUGCUUGAUCGAUCCCUGGAGGAAGCACGGGCUAAGUUCGUGCCAGCAGCCGCGGUAAGACGAACCGUGCGAACGUUAUUCGGAAUCACUGGGCUUAAAGCGCGUGUAGGCGGAUCGGAACGUCGGAGCCUGAAAUCCCCCGGCUCAACCGGGGAACGCGGCCCGAAACGACCGGUCUCGAGGGGUGUAGGGGGGACUGGAACUUCCGGUGGAGCGGUGAAAUGCGUUGAGAUCGGAAGGAACGCCCGUGGCGAAAGCGAGUCCCUGGACGCCUGCUGACGCUGAGACGCGAAAGCUAGGGGAGCGAACG
This 416-nucleotide ribosomal RNA is filed under the name uncultured bacterium. RNAcentral describes it as "bacterial SSU rRNA". It matches the Rfam family "Bacterial small subunit ribosomal RNA", at positions 355 to 774 of the family's 1533-position model. The record is from RNAcentral.